RNAcentral lists this ribosomal RNA (350 nucleotides) under uncultured Acidobacteriota bacterium. RNAcentral describes it as "bacterial SSU rRNA". It matches the Rfam family "Bacterial small subunit ribosomal RNA", at positions 20 to 359 of the family's 1533-position model. The record is from RNAcentral. Lineage: Bacteria; Pseudomonadati; Acidobacteriota.
UGGCUCAGAAUCAACGCUGGCGGCGUGCCUAACACAUGCAAGUCGAACGCGAAAGCCCGCAAGGGUAAGUAGAGUGGCAAACGGGUGAGUAACACGUGGGUGACCUGCCUUAGAGUGGGGGAUAACGUCCCGAAAGGGACGCUAAUACCGCAUAACAUCCUGCCUUUGAAGAGGUGGAGAUCAAAGCCGGGGACCGCAAGGCCUGGCGCUUAAAGAGGGGCCCGCGCCUGAUUAGCUAGUUGGUGAGGUAAUGGCUCACCAAGGCAACGAUCAGUAUCCGGCCUGAGAGGGCGGACGGACACACUGGGACUGAGACACGGCCCAGACUCCUACGGGAGGCAGCAGUGGGG